This 253-nucleotide ribosomal RNA is filed under the name uncultured bacterium. RNAcentral describes it as "partial 16S ribosomal RNA". It matches the Rfam family "Bacterial small subunit ribosomal RNA", at positions 524 to 776 of the family's 1533-position model. The record is from RNAcentral.
UACGGAGGGUGCAAGCGUUAUCCGGAUUCACUGGGUUUAAAGGGUGCGUAGGCGGGCAGGUAAGUCAGUGGUGAAAUCUUCGAGCUUAACUCGGAAACUGCCGUUGAUACUAUCUGUCUUGAAUGUUGUGGAGGUGAGCGGAAUAUGUCAUGUAGCGGUGAAAUGCUUAGAUAUGACAUAGAACACCCAUUGCGAAGGCAGCUCACUACGCAACAAUUGACGCUGAGGCACGAAAGCGUGGGGAUCAAACAGG